GAUCAUGGCUCAGGACGAACGCUAGCUACAGGCUUAACACAUGCAAGUCGAGGGGCAGCAUCAUCAAAGCUUGCUUUGAUGGAUGGCGACCGGCGCACGGGUGAGUAACACGUAUCCAACCUGCCGACAACACUGGGAUAGCCUUUCGAAGAAAGAUUAAUACCGGAUGGCAUAGUUUUCCCGCAUGGGGAUAAAUUUAUUAAAAGAAUUUUCGGUUGUCGAUGGGGAUGCGUUCCAUUAGG
RNAcentral lists this ribosomal RNA (242 nucleotides) under uncultured bacterium. RNAcentral describes it as "partial 16S ribosomal RNA". It matches the Rfam family "Bacterial small subunit ribosomal RNA", at positions 15 to 245 of the family's 1533-position model. The record is from RNAcentral.